RNAcentral lists this ribosomal RNA (895 nucleotides) under uncultured bacterium. RNAcentral's name for it is "bacterial SSU rRNA". It matches the Rfam family "Bacterial small subunit ribosomal RNA", at positions 8 to 910 of the family's 1533-position model. The record is from RNAcentral.
AGAGUUUGAUCCUGGCUCAGGACGAACGCUGGCGGCGUGCUUAACACAUGCAAGUCGAGCGAGAGCCAGUUGAGGGGUAACCCUCGGCUGGGGACAGCGGCGAACGGGUGCGUAACACGUGGGCAACCUGCCCCUGACACUGGGAUAACCCCGGGAAACCGGAGCUAAUACCGGAUACUCUCGGCCGAUCACAUGGCUGGCCGAGGAAAGGUCCGCCGGUCAGGGAUGGGCCCGCGGCCUAUCAGCUUGUUGGUGAGGUAACGGCCCACCAAGGCGACGACGGGUAGCUGGUCUGAGAGGACUACCAGCCACACUGGAACUGAGAUACGGUCCAGACUCCUACGGGAGGCAGCAGUGGGGAAUAUUGCACAAUGGGCGAAAGCCUGAUGCAGCGACGCCGCGUGAGGGAUGAAGGCCUUCGGGUCGUAAACCUCUUUCGGCAGGGACGAAGCGAUCAGUGACGGUACCUGCAGAAGAAGCCCCGGCUAACUACGUGCCAGCAGCCGCGGUAAGACGUAGGGGGCGAGCGUUGUCCGGAUUCAUUGGGCGUAAAGCGCGCGUAGGCGGCUGCGCAAGUCGGUUGUGAAAUUCCGGGGCUCAACCCCGGAACUGCGUCCGAUACUGCGUGGCUAGAGGUAGGUAGGGGAGAUCGGAAUUCCUGGUGUAGCGGUGAAAUGCGCAGAUAUCAGGAGGAACACCGGUGGCGAAGGCGGAUCUCUGGGCCUUACCUGACGCUCAGGCGCGAAAGCUAGGGGAGCGAACAGGAUUAGAUACCCUGGUAGUCCACGCCCUAAACUAUGGAUACUCGACAUUUGCGAUAAACUGCAAGUGUCUGAGCGAAAGCAUUAAGUAUCCCACCUGGGAAGUACGAUCGCAAGAUUAAACUCAAAGGAAU